GGGCGGGCCACGGCGCCCGAACACAGCCUUAAGUGUGAAGGGAGAAAACUCGACAGCAGCGGGCCGAAACGUCGCUCCUCCUGUGAAGGGAAGCACACCUGACAGUGAGGGGUGACACAGCUCCUCCUAUUAGAAAUAUGUUCAGAGACUAGUGUCCGAACGGCACCUCUCCAGGACUGGUGCUGCCACAUACACAUCUGGAGUCUCCAGCAUCUGUGGCACAGAGCCUGUCAAGCCUCCUACUAAUACCACUCCAGAUGCUGAUGGCUCUAUCUUUCCCAGGCAAAGGGGGCUGGAAUCUCCAAGGACAACCAUUUUUCCAGCAAUGCCUUUGG
Long non-coding RNA from Poecile atricapillus (Black-capped chickadee), 335 nucleotides. RefSeq lists it as uncharacterized. The transcript has 3 exons. The record is from RefSeq and is a predicted model, not a curated record. Lineage: Eukaryota; Metazoa; Chordata; Aves; Passeriformes; Paridae.